RNAcentral lists this ribosomal RNA (253 nucleotides) under uncultured bacterium. RNAcentral describes it as "partial 16S ribosomal RNA". It matches the Rfam family "Bacterial small subunit ribosomal RNA", at positions 524 to 776 of the family's 1533-position model. The record is from RNAcentral.
UACGUAGGGUGCGAGCGUUAAUCGGAAUUACUGGGCGUAAAGCGUGCGCAGGCGGUUUUGUAAGUCAGAUGUGAAAUCCCCGGGCUCAACCUGGGAACUGCGUUUGAAACUACAAGGCUAGAGUGUGGCAGAGGGGGGUGGAAUUCCACGUGUAGCAGUGAAAUGCGUAGAGAUGUGGAGGAACACCGAUGGCGAAGGCAGCCCCCUGGGUUAACACUGACGCUCAGGCACGAAAUCGUGGGGAGCAAACAGG